RNAcentral lists this small nuclear RNA (107 nucleotides) under Dasypus novemcinctus (nine-banded armadillo). Lineage: Eukaryota; Metazoa; Chordata; Mammalia; Cingulata; Dasypodidae. The record is from RNAcentral.
GUGCUCGCUUCAGCAGCACAUAUACUAAAAUUGGAACAAUACAGAGAAGAUUAGCACGGUCUCUGCGCAAGGAUAACAUGUAAAUUCGUGGAGUGUUCUAGAUUAAA